RNAcentral lists this transfer RNA (67 nucleotides) under Pisione sp. YZ-2018. RNAcentral's name for it is "tRNA-Ser". Lineage: Eukaryota; Metazoa; Annelida; Polychaeta; Phyllodocida; Pisionidae. The record is from RNAcentral.
UGGAAAAAUAGGCCUAUAGUAAGGCUUCUAACCUAGCUAUGAGAGGCUCAUUUCCUCUCUUUUCCAA